This is an RNA transcript of Andrographis paniculata, 564 nucleotides long. It is a transcript of the gene named early nodulin-93-like, with no coding region annotated. The record is from RefSeq and is a predicted model, not a curated record. The transcript has 5 exons. NCBI's taxonomy places the organism in Eukaryota, Viridiplantae, Streptophyta, Magnoliopsida, Lamiales, Acanthaceae.
GAAGGUAUUUUUGGUGCCAGAUUUGGGGGAAAUGGGGAUUCCGUCAGAAAUUAAGGAUUUUCUCGCGAAUCGGAGGAAUGCUUUGGUGAUUCAAUCUCCGUUUGAGGAUGAGAAAUCUCUUCGCACAAAGCAGUGUACUCAAGAAUCGGUGCGCGCAGGAGCCAAAGCUGCUUCAAUUGCAUGUGUUGCCAGCGCUGUCCCCACUUUGGUAGCCGUUCGAACAAUUCCUUGGGCUAAGGCAAAUUUGAACUAUACAGCACAGGCGUUGAUUAUAUCUGCUGCGACCAUAGCAGCGUAUUUCAUUACGGCGGACAAAGCUAUUUUGGAGUGCGCAAGGAGGAACACUCACUACAAACCAAGUUAAUCAAAGAUAGCGAAUUCGAGCUCUCGAGACGUCAUGCUUUUCUUUCUAUUGCCAAGAAAUACCGAGAUGAUCAAGAAGCACUCUCACACCAUUUCCCUUCGAGGUCCCAGGCGGAACGAUUUCAAGCAUAUCCGAUACUGCUUGGACAACGGAUGCACGAUCCCCUACUGCUUCCUCCCAGUAUGGUCGCAAAGUACCAG